UAUUUAGUUCUAAUUGUGCCCGUGUGUAUUUUCAGAAAUGAUUUAUUGGAGGACAAUGGUGUUGUUCUGAUUCAUGAUUGGGAAAGACGAUCUUACCAUAAGGUUUUAAGUCAAGGUUUUAAAAUAUUGAAGGAAGAAAAAACAUCUGCACGACAUCUAGUGGCUUUACAAGUAGCAAAAUAAUUGACAA
Eurytemora carolleeae is the source of this 190-nucleotide long non-coding RNA. RefSeq lists it as uncharacterized. The transcript has 2 exons. The record is from RefSeq and is a predicted model, not a curated record. NCBI's taxonomy places the organism in Eukaryota, Metazoa, Arthropoda, Copepoda, Calanoida, Temoridae.